This is a long non-coding RNA of Salmo salar (Atlantic salmon), 573 nucleotides long. RefSeq lists it as uncharacterized. The record is from RefSeq and is a predicted model, not a curated record. NCBI's taxonomy places the organism in Eukaryota, Metazoa, Chordata, Actinopteri, Salmoniformes, Salmonidae.
CAGGAAUGCCCACAUGUAGGAACGUCCCCAAUUGCGGGCUGCUGUUGCAUACAGACGAUAAAAUGCCCAAGUCGUUUUAGUGGACGGAGAAAAGUUUUAAAUUAUUCUAGCAAUAUCUUCACGUUGCUGGCCACCAGCAUAUCUCGUACUGCGGGUACCCUGAUAGGCGAAGACCUCCAGGAUGACCACAUGAAACGUGGGCAACAUCUGCCGAGACACUGGUCUCAGAACAGAGGACCUACCAGCUGUCAUGAACAACAGAGAGCUAUGGCAUGCCAUCGUCUGGCACAUUUCACCUCCAUAAGUAAAGUAUAGAAAGAGAGGGAGAGGAGCUACACAGACUGCUGAAAGCCCAGGAUACUGCACAGAGGAGCAAGAAUGAAGUUGGAUAAACCAAGGAGAGGUACCUUGAACAAAAAAGGAAAUAAUUUAAAAAGAAAAACAUCAUGACUUAUUCCACAUUGAAUGUUUUGUGAAGUUAUUGAAAUUCAAGUCAUUAACAUGGGCAUCAUAUUUGUCUUUCAUUUCACUGUCAUACUUCAUCUAUAGAAUAAAAAGAUUGAUUGGUUUACU